Molecule: non-coding RNA, 1941 nt
Organism: Lolium perenne
Lineage: Eukaryota; Viridiplantae; Streptophyta; Magnoliopsida; Poales; Poaceae
Source: RefSeq, a predicted model, not a curated record
GUCUCCCGAAGCUCUGCGCCACGCCGUCUCCGCGCGACCGGCGCACCGCGCGUCCCCCCCGCUCGUCUCUUACGUCAUCAAGCCGAACCUCAUCAGCUUCGUCGCGCGCAUGCUCGACGACAGCAGCGCACGCUCACGUUCUCCGUCGCCGACCUCACAGCAGCGCGCACUUCCUCGACGCGGCCCGGCUCUUCCCGGACCUUGGCGGCGGCUCAACCCCGGCGUCUACCUGAACCAAGUCGAGCCCUUUCUGGCUCCCCGUCGCCACCUCCACCUCGUCGAGCACCCCAGGCAUUUGCUUCUUCCCGGAUAGGAUCACGAAGUGGUGCUGUGAGAUACGACAAGUUCUCCGGAUGUUCCUCGGCAAGCUUUAACAGGCAAGCAUUUUCCCUUAUACUUCUGCCCCUGCAGAAGUCGCUUACCUAUUUUAUUUUGCCUUCUCCCUCAUGCUAUCCUUAAGUUGCGUUCUUGUCACGUGUCCCUUCCACUUGUUACCUCAAGCAGCCCAUAUUGCCACCACCAACCACCAACCUCCUACAGCUGUUGUUUGGUUAACGGGUCUGCCUUGCGAGUCGUAGUGCAUGCUAGUGUUGUUUAUAUCUCGUUACCGUUACCGCUAUCUUAUCGGGUUAUCAGUUGGGGAACAUGACACAUGGUUUAUGGUUAUAUCUGUUGAAAGUAUCAUGGUUACUUGUUAAUAGUUGUUAGCGGAGGCAUCGGUGGGUCAGUUGCUCGUUUUAUGACGGCUCACUUGUGUUUCCAUGAAACCUAGGACCCCGAGUUCUUGUUAUCUGUUCCGAGACUGAGCGCUCUAACCACACGUGGGUAUGCUUCUGGGUCUCCCCUCGACCACUGCCGGAAUCUACAGCUUUGUCCAGUGGCCACAACUAGUUUCGUAAUGUUUUACCAUUUGUUGUUGCGUGCAUGCCAGCCUGCUACUUAUUUAUUUUGGGAAGCCCCUGGGUGCCUUGUAUCCCUUGUUUCUGGUAUGCACGUAUAGGUCGUGGAGCCUCUGCGAAGUGGUUUAUCGCCCCAGUGUGUGUUUAAACCACCAAGCACGUUGACACACAUAGCUAAGUCCGAUUCGGAGAUACGGCCGGACUUCGAUACGGGUUCAACUUGGUUAGGUGGCUUUCUGGAUAUUGUUGUCGUGAAGGAGAGUGCGAGUCGUUAUAUCCACCUGUCGCAAGUGGGUUGAUCGUGCGUGUGGGCACAUUUGGGCACCCCUGCAGGGUUAAAUCUUAUCGAUAAGCCGUGUCCGCGGUUAUGGACGACUUGGAGCUGUAUGAUUCGACCAUAGACAACUUACACUUGUUGUUUAUUAAUAAUAACUUGCGUAGUAAGUUAGCACAACUCUAAUAAUAAAUGGUUAAAACUUGACAACCGUGUGAGUGCCUUUGUAAGUACUUCUUGGCGAAGGGGGAACGCAUCGGCUGUGUUUUGUUUGCAGAGUAUAUAACUGUUACUUACGCUCUCUCACCUUCUCUGAUAGACGACUGUUGUAGAGUGUCUCUAUAGGUUUAUAGUGCUUGCGCGCUGCCGCUUAACCCCACCAUAUUGCCUAUGACGUUCCUCUUGCGUCCUCUAAGUCCCCUGCGUGCCUCAAGUACAAAGGAUGACUGGUUGACGAAUGCUUAUACGUCUUGAAGUCUUGUUAAGUACGAACCCGUACUUAUUGCUGCUUCUACGGGAUAUAACCGGGCAGGUAUGAAGAUAUGUUCGAUGAAGACGACGCUAGCGAGGUUACCCUUCCGGCUUGGCCUGGGCAGGGUUAUGGACGCCACUUGGUUAUCUUCAGGACUCUUAGUCCAAUUUGUAUCUUGUCCGUACUCGGACGUAUUUGAUCUUUUGUAUGAUUUGGAUCUUUGUAUUGUAUAUUUGUAUCUUGACUCGUUGGAGUCGUUGUUGUAAUAUAUAUGUUUCUUGUGGGUUCUAUUGUAA